This 614-nucleotide long non-coding RNA is filed under the name Volvox carteri. RNAcentral's name for it is "long non-coding RNA (VCAR_LNC000564)". Lineage: Eukaryota; Viridiplantae; Chlorophyta; Chlorophyceae; Chlamydomonadales; Volvocaceae. The record is from RNAcentral.
AGGGUUGUUGCCCAGGAACAUCGCAGGCGCGUGUACUUGGGACGGAGAUGGGAUGGUGGCUGAGUUGGAGUGGUGAUAUGGCCGUGGUUGGUUGGAGUGGGGCCUGACCCAGAUGGUGCUUGGGCGGAGAGCACUGGAGGACCCUUUCCUCGCGCCACUGUCUCAUGAGGUCACCUGGCCCAAGGAUUACCUGGCAUUGUCAUCAGGGAAGGAAGGAAGGAUUCCACAGAUGGGAUGGCUUUCAGGAGCAGCGGGUGAUAGUGGUCGGGUGCAAUUUGGCGUAAACUGUUGCUGAUAUGAUCGGUCUCCAUUUAGUUCCAACGGUUCCUAACCGACUUAUGAGGCCAUGGCUAAGUGGCAUUUGAGCUUAAGCUUGGCCGCCCUGGAGAAUAUUUAUGGCGACGGGUUAUGGUUUUGCCACUUCCCCUCAGGCUGUCUUUGUAUAAACCUAUAAACGAUUCCUUCUUUACAGCAGUAACAUGGAUGUUUGCUGUAAUUUGCAAGGGUGUCUUUGGAGAGCAGCCCUGACAUCUGCCCUGACCUUGCGUCCCUUCGGAACUUCAGUCAACCAACGGGAGAAAACAUGCAAAGAAUCUAUUUCGAAAUUGUUUAGC